RNAcentral lists this ribosomal RNA (483 nucleotides) under uncultured bacterium. Its description in RNAcentral is "partial 16S ribosomal RNA". It matches the Rfam family "Bacterial small subunit ribosomal RNA", at positions 29 to 507 of the family's 1533-position model. The record is from RNAcentral.
AUUGAACGCUGGCGGCAUGCUUAACACUUCCAAUUCAAACGCAGCGCGGGCUUUGGCCUGGCGGCGAGUGGCGAAAGGGGGGGGUAAUACAUCGAACGUUCCCCGUUGUGGGGGAUAGGCUGGCCGAAGGCGGAUUUAAUACGCCAACGAACCGAGGGUGGAAGCGGGGGGUCUUUGGGACCUCCGCUAUUGGGGUGGCCGAUGGCAGAUUAGCUAGUUGGUGGGGUAAAGGCCUACCAAGGCGACGAUCUGUAGCUGGUCUGAGAGGACGACCAGCCACACUGGGACUGAGACACGGCCCAGACUCCUACGGGAGGCAGCAGUGGGGAAUUUUGGACAAUGGGCGAAAGCCUGAUCCAGCAAUGCCGCGUGUGUGAUGAAGGCCUUCGGGUUGUAAAGCACUUUUGGCGGGAACGAAAAGGACUGUGCCAAUACCACGGUUCGAUGACGGUACCCGCAGAAUAAGCACCGGCUAACUACGUG